GAUGAAGAACGUAGCGAAAUGCGAUACGUAAUGUGAAUUGCAAAUUCAGUGAAUCAUCGAGUCUUUGAACGCACAUUGCGCCCCCUGGUAUUCCGGGGGGCAUGCCUGUCCGAGCGUCAUUGCUGCCCUCAAGCACGGCUUGUGUGUUGGGCCCCGUCCUCCGAUUCCGGGGGACGGGCCCGAAAGGCAGCGGCGGCACCGCGUCCGGUCCUCGAGCGUAUGGGGCUUUGUCACCCGCUCUGUAGGCCCGGCCGGCGCUUGCCGAUCAACCCAAAUUUUUAUCCAGGUUGCACUCGGAUCAGGUAGGGAUACCCGCUGAACUUAAGCAUAUCAAUAAGCGGAGGA
This 345-nucleotide unclassified non-coding RNA is filed under the name soil metagenome. RNAcentral describes it as "partial contains 5.8S ribosomal RNA, internal transcribed spacer 2, and large subunit ribosomal RNA". The stretch from base 1 to 119 matches the Rfam family "5.8S ribosomal RNA", at positions 35 to 154 of the family's 154-position model. The record is from RNAcentral.